This 713-nucleotide ribosomal RNA is filed under the name Bacillus licheniformis. RNAcentral describes it as "bacterial SSU rRNA". It matches the Rfam family "Bacterial small subunit ribosomal RNA", at positions 55 to 750 of the family's 1533-position model. Lineage: Bacteria; Bacillati; Bacillota; Bacilli; Caryophanales; Bacillaceae. The record is from RNAcentral.
AUGCAGUCGAGCGGACCGACGGGAGCUUGCUCCCUUAGGUCAGCGGCGGACGGGUGAGUAACACGUGGGUAACCUGCCUGUAAGACUGGGAUAACUCCGGGAAACCGGGGCUAAUACCGGAUGCUUGAUUGAACCGCAUGGUUCAAUCAUAAAAGGUGGCUUUUAGCUACCACUUACAGAUGGACCCGCGGCGCAUUAGCUAGUUGGUGAGGUAACGGCUCACCAAGGCGACGAUGCGUAGCCGACCUGAGAGGGUGAUCGGCCACACUGGGACUGAGACACGGCCCAGACUCCUACGGGAGGCAGCAGUAGGGAAUCUUCCGCAAUGGACGAAAGUCUGACGGAGCAACGCCGCGUGAGUGAUGAAGGUUUUCGGAUCGUAAAACUCUGUUGUUAGGGAAGAACAAGUACCGUUCGAAUAGGGCGGUACCUUGACGGUACCUAACCAGAAAGCCACGGCUAACUACGUGCCAGCAGCCGCGGUAAUACGUAGGUGGCAAGCGUUGUCCGGAAUUAUUGGGCGUAAAGCGCGCGCAGGCGGUUUCUUAAGUCUGAUGUGAAAGCCCCCGGCUCAACCGGGGAGGGUCAUUGGAAACUGGGGAACUUGAGUGCAGAAGAGGAGAGUGGAAUUCCACGUGUAGCGGUGAAAUGCGUAGAGAUGUGGAGGAACACCAGUGGCGAAGGCGACUCUCUGGUCUGUAACUGACGCUGAG